CCUCGGGAGGCAGCAGUGGGGAAUAUUGGACAAUGGGCGCGAGCCUGAUCCAGCCAUGCCGCGUGAGUGAUGAAGGCCUUAGGGUUGUAAAGCUCUUUUGCCAGGGAAGAUAAUGACUGUACCUGGAGAAUAAGCCCCGGCUAACUUCGUGCCAGCAGCCGCGGUAAUACGAAGGGGGCUAGCGUUGUUCGGAAUCACUGGGCGUAAAGCGCACGUAGGCGGACUUUUAAGUCAGGGGUGAAAGCCUGAGGCUCAACCUCAGAACUGCCCUUGAUACUGGGAGUCUUGAGUAUGGUAGAGGUUGGUGGAACAGCAAGUGUAGAGGUGAAAUUCGUAGAUAUUUGCUAGAACACCAGUGGCGAAGGCGGCCAACUGGACCAUAACUGACGCUGAGGUGCGAAAGCGUGGGGAGCAAACAGGAUUAGAUACCCUGGUAGUCCACGCCGUAAACGAUGGAUGCUAGCCGUUAGCCAGCUUGCUGGGUAGUGGCGCAGGUAACCCUUUAAGCAUCCCGCCUGGGGAGUACGGUCGCAAGNUUAAAACUCAAAAUGAAUUGACGG
Molecule: ribosomal RNA, 560 nt
Filed under: uncultured bacterium
Lineage: Bacteria
Description: bacterial SSU rRNA
Rfam family: Bacterial small subunit ribosomal RNA
Source: RNAcentral